CAGGGGUGGUCUUAAAAUCGAGCUCCCAGAGAUCAAAUGUGCCUUUGACGAAAUUGUAGUGAGCUCCCCUUAUUGCAAGUGUGUUCUUCACUACUGCAGCUCUCACAAAUGGGUAUGAAAGCAGGUUUCCAAGAGACACAUUCACAGCUUCCUACAAGAGACAGAGAUGUGUUAAGCAGAAAUAACAGAGCAUUGAGUGUUGUUUGUGUUAUUGUGUCCUUUUAAAUUUGUUUUUUACCUUCUCACACUUGUUACAUUGUUCAUCGUAGUCUAGGUUUUUUUCUCUCUAUGGUUUCUCUGAGUAUUUUACUCUGGAAUUGGAUAAUGAAAUCGACCAGAGAGCCCCCAUAUUUUAAAUCUAGUUUACUACUUUAUCUGAUAAAUAUUUGAUGAAUAUCAUUUAUAGAGUUCAAAAUCUUGGUUCGAAUUAGACUAACCAGUGGGUCUUUCUUUUUCCGCACGUCACUUAGAUAAAAUAAAUAAGAUUGAAAGGUUGUUCAGAGUAUUAUUGUUUACAGCUCUUUGAAACAGAAGUAGCAAAGUUGCAAGUUUGAAAAUAAGAAACCAAUCAAAAGGAAGUUGAGAUCAGAAUCAACAGGAGAAAGAAAGGAUGCAGUCAAAGCUUUUGUGAGAGAAAACCAAAUCUCACAAGAGUUAUAUUCAAGAGAAGGCAUAAGCAGGGGUGGUCUUAAAAUCGAGCUCCCAGAGAUCAAAUGUGCCUUUGACGAAAUUGUAGUGAGCUCCCCUUAUUGCAAGUGUGUUCUUCACUACUGCAGCUCUCACAAAUGGGUAUGAAAGCAGGUUUCCAAGAGACACAUUCACAGCUUCCUACAAGAGACAGAGAUGUGUUAAGCAGAAAUAACAGAGCAUUGAGUGUUGUUUGUGUUAUUGUGUCCUUUUAAAUUUGUUUUUUA
Molecule: long non-coding RNA, 914 nt
Filed under: Brassica napus (rape)
Lineage: Eukaryota; Viridiplantae; Streptophyta; Magnoliopsida; Brassicales; Brassicaceae
Description: long non-coding RNA (BNAP_LNC023752)
Source: RNAcentral